This 253-nucleotide ribosomal RNA is filed under the name uncultured bacterium. RNAcentral describes it as "partial 16S ribosomal RNA". It matches the Rfam family "Bacterial small subunit ribosomal RNA", at positions 524 to 776 of the family's 1533-position model. The record is from RNAcentral.
UACGUAGGGUGCAGGCGUUAAUCGGAAUUACUGGGUGUAAAGCGUGCGCAGGCGGUCUGCUAAGAGAGAUGUGAAAGCCCCGGGCUUAACCUGGGAACUGCGUUUGAAACUGGGAGGCUAGAGUGCGGCAGAGGGGGGUGGAAUUCCACGUGUAGCAGUGAAAUGCGUAGAUAUGUGGAGGAACACCGAUGGCGAAGGCAGCCCCCUGGGCCAGCACUGACGCUCAUGCACGAAAGCGUGGGGAGCAAACAGG